RNAcentral lists this ribosomal RNA (253 nucleotides) under uncultured bacterium. RNAcentral describes it as "partial 16S ribosomal RNA". It matches the Rfam family "Bacterial small subunit ribosomal RNA", at positions 524 to 776 of the family's 1533-position model. The record is from RNAcentral.
UACGAAGGGGGCGAGCGUUGUUCGGAAUUACUGGGCGUAAAGGGCGCGUAGGCGGCCCCUUUUGUCGCGUGUGAAAGCCCCGGGCUCAACCUGGGAGGUGCGCGCGAAACGGGGGGGCUUGAGUACGAAAGAGGAUCGCGGAAUUCCCGGUGUAGAGGUGAAAUUCGUAGAUAUCGGGAGGAACACCAGAGGCGAAGGCGGCGACCUGGACAGUUACUGACACUCAACUACGAAAGCGUGGGGAGCAAACAGG